Molecule: unclassified non-coding RNA, 220 nt
Filed under: plant metagenome
Description: partial contains small subunit ribosomal RNA, internal transcribed spacer 1, and 5.8S ribosomal RNA
Source: RNAcentral
UUUCCGUAGGUGAACCUGCGGAAGGAUCAUUACAGAGUUCAUGCCCUCACGGGUAGAUCUCCCACCCUUGAAUAUUUAUACCUUAGUUGCUUUGGUAGGCCGUGGAAACACCAUGGGCUCCGGCUUAUGCGUGCCUGCCAGAGGAAACAAACUCUGUUUUUAGUGAUGUCUGAGUACUAUAUAAUAGUUAAAACUUUCAACAACGGAUCUCUUGGUUCUG